This 721-nucleotide long non-coding RNA is filed under the name Equus caballus (horse). Its description in RNAcentral is "lncRNA (ENSECAG00000055335.1)". The record is from RNAcentral. Lineage: Eukaryota; Metazoa; Chordata; Mammalia; Perissodactyla; Equidae.
UCUCCCUGUCUCUCCAAAUAGGGCCCAGGAGGCUUCACCCCUCCUUAGAACUGCUGAGCUAGACAGGAAUUUUACUCCUCUGGCCCAGUGUCACUUGCAGGGAAUUUUCUUCAGCUGGUGGCAGAAGAGGAUGUCAGAGAGCUUCCCAGCAUAAGAAUGAGUGGACACGCCACUGCUCAUUUGAAGCUGAAGGGGCCAUCUGAGGAGGAACAAGUGCAGCUUCUACAGUAUGAGAGUGGACCCCAGCUGGCAGCCAGCCGUGCACUGGAUUCUCCAACAGCCUGAAUGAGCUGGGGAGCCUGUUAUUUUCCCAGACAAGAAUGCAGCCAAGCUCACAAGGACUUCUGACCUACGAAAUGCCGUGUUCAUCUGCCGUUUUUGAAUCUACCCCUCCACUCCACACCCACCUUGGGAGGAGGACAGGAGAUUGGCAAGCCUCCGGACCAGGCCAGCAUCCCGUGGUAGCAGCACACUGGGUGCAUUGGUCCCUUCACGCCCCACACAUGCCCCUGUGCCUUUCAGGAAAUGUGAUGUGCCGGAGGACAUCUGAAUUGCUACCUCACAAGAGAAGUAAAUGAGAAGCAUUGUUUCAUGGGCUGUGAAAGGGACACACAGUUUGUACUCCUAUCAGCAGAGCUACUAAAAAAUGGAAAUUUAUGAUUUUUGCCCUUCAGAAAAUCCUCAUUAAGCUCCUUGAAGAAAUGGAAACCUCAUGAGCAGU